GGGACAUUCCAUAGACAUAAUGGUUUAUUGUACCAACUGUAUUUUCUAUCCCCUUACCCUAAACUCACCUUUUACACAAAAUGUUCUGCAUUUUUAAAUCUUCAAAAACUUCAAUCCGUAUGAUUUAUUAGCUGUUUUCCUCAUAGGGACCAAAAAAAAGUGUCUGGAAUUUUACUGGAUUUACUGGAAUUACUAUCCUUGUGGGGGACAUUUGGUCAGAACAAUGGAAACAUGGGUCAGUUUACAUCCUCACGCAACUCACCCAAUUUCUCAUUUGCCCGUCAUGCGCCACGUUGUUUAAAUAGCAAAUGCAUUUGCGCCCAUCUGUGCGCCCAUGGGCGUGCUGGUCUUAAAAAGAGGUGUGUUCAGACGCAUUGUUGGCUCGUUGCUAUUUUGAGGAACUGAAAAUAGACUGCGCCAUAGACCAACUCAAACCUGGUCUAAAGUCUGGCGCAAUAUUUUUUCUUUGUUUUUUAAGGAUUGCGUUAUAGGCGGGCCCACAGCGCGCGUACAGCCUGCUUAUUACACACAGGGACGCACAGCAGCAAACAAAUUGGCCAAAUAUUAAAAGUUUAAAGAUUACAAUGUAAAAUAAUAUUAUUGUGUAGGCUACAUAAAUAUAAAAAUGCCUACAUGUCAUAAUGGAUAGUCAUCGCAUGUAUCAGAAUUAGGAUAUGAGCAGGAGCAGCUCCUCUCUGGAGACGCGUUCUGUCUUUGCGCUUGCCAAAUUCCGCCGUGUAAAUAGCAAAUCCGUCAUGGCACGAGCGCAACUGGCUCCUAAUGGGAAUGGGAGAUGACACUAUGAUUGGUUUAUUGCACGUUGCGCCCAAAAAACACCCAUUACUCAUUAAGAGGAUAGGGACAACCCGUUUAGACUAUGCGCCAGGGCGCGCCAACCUUUUUCCCUCCACACUUUUUCUAACAUUUCUUACAUUCCUACAAUUUCACAUUUUUACCUUAUUCAGCACUUCUGCUUUGUUAUAUUUAUUGUGCUCGUCAUGUUUAUUGCUCAUUAUAUUUAAUGUGCUCUUAUGUCUGAUCCCUGUUGUCAUGAACACGUGUGUAUACUUGUUUUGUCUUUGCACCUUGGUCCGUCAGAAACGACAUUUCGUUCUUUUGUAUACUGUGUAUGUGAAAGAACGACAAUAAAGUUGAGUUGAGUUGAAUACCAGGCACACACUAACACACAAAACUUUUCAUUUAAUGUGAUUGCAGACUUUACACCCCAUUUUAAAAUUAAGCAGAAUUUGGAAUCAGAUCAGACAAGGAAUGGUCUAUGGUCAAAAUCCUUUGUCAUAUACGUC
This is a long non-coding RNA of Cyprinus carpio carpio, 1304 nucleotides long. Lineage: Eukaryota; Metazoa; Chordata; Actinopteri; Cypriniformes; Cyprinidae. The record is from Ensembl.